AACUCAGAUUGGACAGAUAGUCUAGCUAGCGGUCUGGAUUUACCCUGCAGAGAUCUGAGGACCAGGUAACCAUAGUCCGGAGGUUAGAACCCCAACACAGAGGAUGAGGAAGGGGACGACAUCUGGUGGAAA
This is a long non-coding RNA of Etheostoma cragini (Arkansas darter), 132 nucleotides long. RefSeq lists it as uncharacterized. The record is from RefSeq and is a predicted model, not a curated record. Lineage: Eukaryota; Metazoa; Chordata; Actinopteri; Perciformes; Percidae. The transcript has 3 exons.